AUACGGAGGGUGCAAGCGUUAAUCGGAAUUACUGGGCGUAAAGCGUACGUAGGCGGUUCGUUAAGUUAGAUGUGAAAGCCCCGGGCUUAACCUGGGAACUGCAUUUAAAACUGGCGAACUAGAGUUGAGUAGAGGGGAGUGGAAUUUCAGGUGUAGCGGUGAAAUGCGUAGAGAUCUGAAGGAACACCAGUGGCGAAGGCGACUCCCUGGACUCGAACUGACGCUGAGGUACGAAAGCGUGGGUAGCAAACGGAAUUAGAAACCCCAGUAGUCC
RNAcentral lists this ribosomal RNA (274 nucleotides) under uncultured bacterium. RNAcentral describes it as "partial 16S ribosomal RNA". It matches the Rfam family "Bacterial small subunit ribosomal RNA", at positions 523 to 796 of the family's 1533-position model. The record is from RNAcentral.